RNAcentral lists this ribosomal RNA (466 nucleotides) under uncultured bacterium. Its description in RNAcentral is "partial 16S ribosomal RNA". It matches the Rfam family "Bacterial small subunit ribosomal RNA", at positions 28 to 507 of the family's 1533-position model. The record is from RNAcentral.
GAUGAACGCUGGCGGCGUGCUUAACACAUGCAAGUCGAACGAAGAAGCCUAGCUUGCUGGGUGGAUUAGUGGUGAACGGGUGAGUAACACGUGAGUAACCCGCCCGUAACUCUGGGAUAAGUCGGGGAUAAUGGGGGUAAUACCGGUUUGGUUCGUCCACCGCCUGGUGGGUGUUGGCAAGAGUUAUCGGUUUUGGUUGGAUGCGCGUGCUAUCAGCUUGUUGGUGUGGGAUUGUUUCACCAAGGCGACGACGGGUAGCCGGCGUGAGCAGGUGGCCGGCGACACUGGGACUGAGACACGGCCCAGACUCCUACGGGAAGCAGCAGUGGGGAGUAGUAGACUAUUGCCGCAAGCCUGAUUCAGCGACGCCGCGUGUGGGAUUACGGCCUUCGGGUUGUAAACCGCUUUCCGUAGGGAUGGAGCGGUAGUGACGGUACCGGUAGAAGAAGCACCGGCUAACUACGUG